Molecule: ribosomal RNA, 443 nt
Filed under: uncultured bacterium
Lineage: Bacteria
Description: partial 16S ribosomal RNA
Rfam family: Bacterial small subunit ribosomal RNA
Source: RNAcentral
CCUACGGGAGGCAGCAGUGGGGAAUAUUGGGCAAUGGGCGCAAGCCUGACCCAGCAACGCCGCGUGAAGGAAGAAGGCUUUCCGGUUGUAAACUUCUUUUAUUAGGGACGCAAGAUAUGACGGUACCUCAUCAAUAAGCCACGGCUAACUACGGGCCCGCAGCCGCGGUAAUACGUAGGUGGCAACCGUUAUCCGGAUUUACUGGGUGUAAAGGGCGUGUAGGCGGGACUGCAAGUCAUCUGUGAAAAUUAUGGGCUCAACCCAUAACCUGCAUUUGAUACUGUAGGUCUUGAGUGAUGGAGAGGGAGGCGGAAUGCCGGGUGUAGCGGUGAAAUGCGUAGAUAUACGGAGGAACACCAGUGGCGAAGGCGGCCUGCUGGACAGUAACUGACGCUGAGGCGCGAAGGCGAGGGGAGCAAACAGGAUUAGAUACCCCAGUAGUC